Molecule: long non-coding RNA, 307 nt
Organism: Oncorhynchus gorbuscha (pink salmon)
Lineage: Eukaryota; Metazoa; Chordata; Actinopteri; Salmoniformes; Salmonidae
Exons: 3
Source: RefSeq, a predicted model, not a curated record
UAAAGGUUUGGUCAUGGCAGUGAGACUGUAAGUGUGUGAUGUAGUGCUCUUGUAAAGGUUUGGUCAUGGCAGUGAGACUGUAAGUGUGUGAUGUAGUGCUCUUGUAAAGGUUUGGUCAUGGCAGUGAGACUGUAAGUGUGUGAUGUAGUGCUCUUGUAAAGGUUUGGUCAUGGCAGUGAGACUGUAAGUGUGUGAUGUAGUGCUCUUGUAAAGGUUUGGUCAUGGCAGUGAGACUGUAAGUGUGUGAUGUAGUGCUCUUGUAAAGGUUUGGUCAUGGCAGUGAGACUGUAAGUGUGUGAUGUAGUGC